AAUCAACGCUGGCGGCGUGCCUAACACAUGCAAGUCGAACGCGAAAGGGGAGCAAUCCCUGAGUAGAGUGGCAAACGGGUGAGUAACACGUGGGUGACCUGCCUUCGAGUGGGGGAUAACGUCCCGAAAGGGACGCUAAUACCGCAUGACAUCCUGCUCUUGGAAGAGCGGAGAUCAAAGCUGGGGAUCGCAAGACCUGGCGCUUGAAGAGGGGCCCGCGCCUGAUUAGCUAGUUGGUAGGGUAAUGGCCUACCAAGGCAACGAUCAGUAUCCGGCCUGAGAGGGCGGACGGACACACUGGGACUGAGACACGGCCCAGACUCCUACGGGAGGCAGCAGUGGGAAUUGUUCGCAAUGGGCGCAAGCCUGAUCCAGCAAUGCCGCGUGGGUGAAGAAGGUUUUCGGAUUGUAAGGCCC
RNAcentral lists this ribosomal RNA (417 nucleotides) under uncultured bacterium. RNAcentral's name for it is "bacterial SSU rRNA". It matches the Rfam family "Bacterial small subunit ribosomal RNA", at positions 32 to 433 of the family's 1533-position model. The record is from RNAcentral.